GAAAUGCGAUAAGUAAUGUGAAUUGCAGAAUUCAGUGAAUCAUCGAAUCUUUGAACGCACAUUGCGCCCGCCAGUAUUCUGGCGGGUAUGCCUGUUCGAGCGUCAUUUCAACCAUCAAGCCCCGGGCUUGUGUUGGGGACCUGCGGCUGCCGCAGGCCCUGAAAACCAGUGGCGGGCUCGCUGUCACACCGAGCGUAGUAGAUUCUCAUCUCGCUCAGGGCGUGCUGCGGGUUCCGGCCGUAAAACAGCCUUAUUUUACCCAAGGUUGACCUCGGAUCAGGUAGGAAGACCCGCUGAACUUAAGC
RNAcentral lists this unclassified non-coding RNA (305 nucleotides) under plant metagenome. Its description in RNAcentral is "partial contains 5.8S ribosomal RNA, internal transcribed spacer 2, and large subunit ribosomal RNA". The stretch from base 1 to 105 matches the Rfam family "5.8S ribosomal RNA", at positions 50 to 154 of the family's 154-position model. The record is from RNAcentral.